This is a long non-coding RNA of Ictalurus punctatus (channel catfish), 399 nucleotides long. RefSeq lists it as uncharacterized. The transcript is spliced from 3 exons. The record is from RefSeq and is a predicted model, not a curated record. Lineage: Eukaryota; Metazoa; Chordata; Actinopteri; Siluriformes; Ictaluridae.
GGUCGAAAACCCGCCCCUUCCUUUCGUUGCUACGGACUACAGAGUGUGACGUUGGGCUACCGAGACUGUGUGCAGGUGUGAUGUGCUGCUCACUCUCAGUGCGGUGUGUCGUCAAGGCUCCCAUCUGUGUAGCAUGGUAGUUUAACGCAGGCCCGGUCGGCGCGCCAGCUGUUGACGUCACAACUAUUAAAGAAGCUAUCGUGAUUUUCGUAUGUGCCAUCGUGAGUACUAUGUCAUCGGAUCACGGAGCUGAGUGCUUCCUGAGGCUGGGGGGAGUUCUAUGCUGUACCUUAGGCUUUACUUAAUUAAGGGUUGUUAUUAUUGUCGUUAAGCCUUUCUCAAGGGUUCAGAAGUGGAAUUUGAACUCACAACGCUCCACUGUCUUUACUGAAAAUAAAU